RNAcentral lists this ribosomal RNA (1200 nucleotides) under metagenome. RNAcentral describes it as "bacterial SSU rRNA". It matches the Rfam family "Bacterial small subunit ribosomal RNA", at positions 202 to 1410 of the family's 1533-position model. The record is from RNAcentral.
GAAAUGUGAAGGAGAAGGAUGGGGAUGCGUCUGAUUAGCUUGUUGGCGGGGUAACGGCCCACCAAGGCUACGAUCAGUAGGGGUUCUGAGAGGAAGGUCCCCCACAUUGGAACUGAGACACGGUCCAAACUCCUACGGGAGGCAGCAGUGAGGAAUAUUGGUCAAUGGACGGGAGUCUGAACCAGCCAAGUAGCGUGCAGGACGACGGCCCUAUGGGUUGUAAACUGCUUUUAUAGGGGGAUAAAGUGUGCCACGUGUGGCAUAUUGCAGGUACCCUAUGAAUAAGGACCGGCUAAUUCCGUGCCAGCAGCCGCGGUAAUACGGAAGGUCCGGGCGUUAUCCGGAUUUAUUGGGUCUAAAGGGAGCGUAGGCCGUCUUAUAAGCGUGUUGUGAAAUGUCGGGGCUCAACCUGGGCAUUGCAGCGCGAACUGUGAGACUUGAGUGCGCAGGAAGUAGGCGGAAUUCGUCGUGUAGCGGUGAAAUGCUUAGAUAUGACGAAGAACUCCGAUUGCGAAGGCAGCCUGCUGUAGCGCAACUGACGCUGAAGCUCGAAAGCGUGGGUAUCGAACAGGAUUAGAUACCCUGGUAGUCCACGCGGUAAACGAUGGAUGCUCGCUGUUUGCGUCUGACGUAAGCGGCCAAGCGAAAGCGUUAAGCAUCCCACCUGGGGAGUACGCCGGCAACGGUGAAACUCAAAGGAAUUGACGGGGGCCCGCACAAGCGGAGGAACAUGUGGUUUAAUUCGAUGAUACGCGAGGAACCUUACCCGGGCUUGAACUGUAGGCGAACGAUUCAGAGAUGAAGAGGCCCCUCGGGGCGCCUAUGGAGGUGCUGCAUGGUUGUCGUCAGCUCGUGCCGUGAGGUGUCGGCUUAAGUGCCAUAACGAGCGCAACCCUUGUUCGUAGUUGCCAUCGGUUAUGCCGGGCACUCUGCGAAGACUGCCUCCGUAAGGAGUGAGGAAGGUGGGGAUGACGUCAAAUCAGCACGGCCCUUACGUCCGGGGCUACACACGUGUUACAAUGGCAUGUACAGAAAGCUGGGUGUAUGCAAAUACGCUCGAAUCCCUAAAACAUGUCUCAGUUCGGACUGGGGUCUGCAACCCGACCCCACGAAGCUGGAUUCGCUAGUAAUCGCGCAUCAGCCAUGGCGCGGUGAAUACGUUCCCGGGCCUUGUACACACCGCCCGUCAAGCCAUGAAAG